Molecule: transfer RNA, 69 nt
Filed under: Neoplocaederus obesus
Lineage: Eukaryota; Metazoa; Arthropoda; Insecta; Coleoptera; Cerambycidae
Description: tRNA-Gln
Source: RNAcentral
UACACUUUAGUAUAUGAUGUAUAGGAGUUUUUGAUACUUUAGGAGCUAGUUUGAUUCUGGCAAGUGUAA